UACGUAGGGUGCGAGCGUUGUCCGGAAUUAUUGGGCGUAAAGGGCUCGUAGGCGGUUUGUCGCGUCGGGAGUGAAAACCUUGGGCUUAACUCAGGGCUUGCUUUCGAUACGGGCAGACUAGAGGUAUGCAGGGGAGACUGGAAUUCCUGGUGUAGCGGUGAAAUGCGCAGAUAUCAGGAGGAACACCGGUGGCGAAGGCGGGUCUCUGGGCCGAUACUGACGCUGAGGAGCGAAAGCGUGGGGAGCGAACAGG
RNAcentral lists this ribosomal RNA (253 nucleotides) under uncultured bacterium. RNAcentral's name for it is "partial 16S ribosomal RNA". It matches the Rfam family "Bacterial small subunit ribosomal RNA", at positions 524 to 776 of the family's 1533-position model. The record is from RNAcentral.